GGUUUCGUAGUGUAGUGGUUAUCACGUCCGCUUUACACGCGGAAGGUCCCCGGUUCAAGCCCGGGCGGAACCA
Pocillopora damicornis (cauliflower coral) is the source of this 73-nucleotide non-coding RNA. NCBI's taxonomy places the organism in Eukaryota, Metazoa, Cnidaria, Anthozoa, Scleractinia, Pocilloporidae. The record is from the annotation of a RefSeq genome assembly.